GCGCAGCAGGCGCGAAUCAUCCGCAAUGCGCGCAAGCGUGACGGUGCGACGCCGCGUGCGGGAGGAAGCCCCUCGGGGUGUAAACCGCUUUUCAGGGGUAUGAAGCGGCUUCGGUGAAUAGCCGGAGUCGUUGACGUCAACCCUGGAAUAAGCCCCUGCUAACUUCGUGCCAGCAGCCGCGGUAAUACGGAGGGGGCAAGCGUUGCUCGGAAUCACUGGGCUUAGAGCGGGCGUAGGCGGUCCGGUCAGUCGGAUGUGAAAUACCUCGGCUUAACCGAGGAAGGGCGUCCGAUACUGCCGGGCUUGAGGCAUCCAGGGGCGACUGGAACUCUCGGUGGAGCGGUGAAAUGCGUAGAUAUCGAGAGGAACGCC
This 372-nucleotide ribosomal RNA is filed under the name uncultured microorganism. RNAcentral describes it as "bacterial SSU rRNA". It matches the Rfam family "Bacterial small subunit ribosomal RNA", at positions 346 to 710 of the family's 1533-position model. The record is from RNAcentral.